This 301-nucleotide ribosomal RNA is filed under the name uncultured bacterium. RNAcentral describes it as "partial 16S ribosomal RNA". It matches the Rfam family "Bacterial small subunit ribosomal RNA", at positions 509 to 807 of the family's 1533-position model. The record is from RNAcentral.
CAGCCGCCGCGGGAAUACAGAGGGUGCGAGCGUUAAUCGGAUUUACUGGGCGUAAAGCGUGCGUAGGCGGCUUCUUAAGUCGGAUGUGAAAUCCCUGAGCUUAACUUAGGAAUUGCAUUUGAUACUGGGAAGCUAGAGUAUGGGAGAGGAUGGUAGAAUUCCAGGUGUAGCGGUGAAAUGCGUAGAGAUCUGGAGGAAUACCGAUGGCGAAGGCAGCCAUCUGGCCUAAUACUGACGCUGAGGUACGAAAGCAUGGGGAGCAAACAGGAUUAGAUACCCCUGUAGUCCCUGUCUCUUAUAC